AACGCAUAUUGCGCCGCGCGGCAUUCCGCGCGGCACGUCCGACCGAGCGCCGCUGACAACGCUCGCUGGCCUCCUCACGGGGAGGGCCGGCGGUGCUGGGCGCGCCGGAGCGAUCCGGCGCCCCGAAACACAGCGGCGGCCUAUCGGCGAGCCCGGCGAAGUAGAACCAGCGCCUGGGGGACCCGAGACGGCCCGCUAGACCCUGCCAUCACAGAACUUGUUGGCCUCGGGUCGGACGAGGUUACCCGCUGAACUUAA
This 258-nucleotide unclassified non-coding RNA is filed under the name uncultured fungus. RNAcentral describes it as "partial internal transcribed spacer 2". The record is from RNAcentral. Lineage: Eukaryota; Fungi.